Molecule: long non-coding RNA, 651 nt
Filed under: Mytilus galloprovincialis (Mediterranean mussel)
Lineage: Eukaryota; Metazoa; Mollusca; Bivalvia; Mytilida; Mytilidae
Source: RNAcentral
CUCCUUAUAAGGGUUAAUAACAAAAUGAUUGUACAUGUUUAUUAACAUUGCCAUCUGUUCCUGUACAUGUUGCCGUUUUCAAAUCGAUUCUAUCUCUUAUACUUUUUGAGAAAAAUGCAAAGGAAAGAAAUUGUUUCAAGGGGAUAUAACUCUCAUAGGGGACGAUGAAAUCCUAUUCAGCCUCACAUGGUAAUACAUCAUGAUGAGAUCUACAUUAUGUCCAAUAAAGGUCAUGAUAUCUUUAAAACCAACGAGGGGGGGCUAUGUUGAAAAAAAUCAAUAAAAGGGAGAUAACUUCUUAAAGGGGAUGAUGAAAUCCUUAACAGGGUCAUUUGGUAAUACAUCUUGGUGAGGUCUAGCGAUGGUCCAUAUUUGGUCUUAAUAACUUCAACAGAAACAAGAGGCGAGGCAUGUCAAAAAAAUGUUGGAAGAAAAAAAAAAAAAAAAAAAAGAAAAAGAAAAAGAAAAAAAAACAUUAGAAAAACAAUAAGGUCUUUCCUCACGUAGGGGAAAGACCUUAAAAAAAAAACAUGCGAAAAACAAUAAGGUCUUUCCUCGCGGAGAGGAAAGACCUUAAAAAUUGUGUACAUGUACAAAAGUUGGCUGAUAGAAUGAUAAAUGGAGAUGUAUGAUAUGCAAUUUAUAAGAUAG